RNA transcript from Armigeres subalbatus, 587 nucleotides. RefSeq lists it as uncharacterized. Lineage: Eukaryota; Metazoa; Arthropoda; Insecta; Diptera; Culicidae. The transcript has 3 exons. The record is from RefSeq and is a predicted model, not a curated record.
UUUGGUUGAGUUCGCGACAGUCGUAUGCGGUGGAGUAGAAAUGGAAAACUUUUCCGGACCUGCAUCCACUUUCGGCAACUGGAAGCGCACCUGUUCCAACGGAUCCAAUACGGAUAGAAACCAUUUCGCUGCUGCUGCUAUGGAAAAUCAUGUUUACAUCUCCAAUCUCGCUGCGGGACCUGCUGACCGUACCGUACUGAAAUAUGUACGUGAAUUAUAGAGCUUGGAGGUCGCCGCUUUGUGUUGGAUCUGUGUGCCUCUGGGAUGAUAUGGACAUUACCAUUUCCACAUCCUCGUCAUCUUCCAGCUCCACCAGUGCAGUUUCUCACGAGGUUUCUCACCAAUGACCAUGAUAUUGGGGUCGCCCUCGGCUGGCCUGUUCGUCUGGUUGCCGGGAAAUCGGUACUGCUGUCAGCUCUUGCGGGAUGGGUGACCUGCCUUGACCUUUCCCAACUGCUUCAUUAACGCAAGUCGAUGCAUCGCCGUCCUGUAACCCCUCCACGACAACUCCUCCGUGCCGCGGUCUGAGGAAACAAUUGUCACUCGAUGGUGAGCAGAUCCGUGGCCUAAUAGAAUCCUUCAAUUUC